CCGAGUUUGUUGCCCUUGGUUUGUGGAAUGUAAAGUCAAGUUAAAGUUUUCUCCAGCGUUGCCUCAUUCCUCUUCUGUGUAUUGUGACAUUUUGUUUGUUUUUUGUUUUGUGUUUUGCCAUGUUGAUACUGUUUGGCGCAGGCCUUAAUUCUUUUGCUGCUGUUGUUUUUAGCUGAGUUUUAAAUUAACUUAGUUUUGUCCUGCAAAUGUGCCCAAGUCUAAAUUGAGCAUACCAUUGCUAACACAGGCAAUUGUCAUGGGGUGACGAGUGACAGGCGGAACCACUUCUCGUCGAGGAUGUUUCCUGGUCGGAGUAUUUCCGGUGUGACACCUGGCCAGUUCCGGUUGCCCCAUGAGCUAUGCUCAGACCCCCGGAUCAAAUGAAGAAACGAGUAACAGGUGUGCAAUGACAGGGCGGUGAUUGGGACAGGUAACAGGAAUGCGGCUUAUAAAAGGACUUUGGGGUGAAGGAAAGAGGAGGGGUUGCGGGAGAGGCGAGAGGUCGGGAAGAGAGGAAGCGUGACGGAAACGGAUUUUCUACAGGCUGUGGAUAGGAGAGCUGUGAGUUCUGCAUCCCCUGCUUUCCUGACUGCCUGGAAGUGGAGCCAUACCUGCAUACUUACAUUGUCCGGCCUGUAGCUGCCCUGUCAACAAUAGGAGCCACACUUGUAUACUCCCCAUUUUCUGGCCUGGAGCCAACUGUUGAACAUGUGAAGUCAUCCCUCCCUGGCUGUUCUGGUCUUCCUGGAAAAGGAACCAUACCCGCAUACCCACCUUGUUCGGUCUGGAGCUGCUCUGUUAACGACGUGAGUCAUCUCUCCUUUGCUUUCCCUGAACUGUUUGGAAGAGGAACUAUUACCUGUAUACCCACCAUUAUUUGGCCUGGAGCCAGUCUGUUGAAAUUGAGAGACACCUCCCCCACCCCUCUGUUCCUUGGCCUGCUUGAUGAAGAGCUACCCCCUGCCUGCCUAACAUUGUCCGGCUUGGAGCCGACCCAGUAAUAAAGAGGACUUGUGUUCACCAUCGUACAGUUAAAAAAGGGGAUCUUCCAGUUAUAUACUUACCCCGUGGUGUAUACCUCGAUUGGAGAAAAGUACCAGGUUUUUGAGGAGAAGAGGUCGACGAGUCAUGUUAUUUAGGAAAUUACUUUUAAUUCAAGACAAACUUUGUACCUUCUAGACUUGUCUUGUCUCUGGUGUAGUCUGAUAGCUCCAAGGUGGUGCAGGGUAUAGGGGCAGGGUGUAAGGUUCCGGUCAGCCCCGGCCUGUGACACAAUUUUAAGAGUGUGGAACAAUUUUCCCAAUUGCUUUGAUUAGAAAAGAUUUGUUACAGGCAUGAUUAGAAACCCACGAAUCUACACACACACCCAGCAACCAAAGGGUUAGAAUCAAUAAAUCAGUGUCACAGUGAAUUAAAGAAGUCCCACAGUUAUGUUCCCAUAUUCUGCAUCAAAACAGUGAAUGAGACACCUUGUAAACCCAGCAAAGUUUUUCUUUUUGAUGACUGUUGUCAUGUCGACCGCAUGAGGUAUGUUGAAAAUGUAGACAAUUUAUUUUUCUAUUCAAAAUACUGACUUAACCUGUUGGGAAUGUAAACAGACGGACGACUGUUUUGGGCAGACAGAUAUUUUCUUUGAUCAUUUUCUGUGCAGUGCUGGACAUUCCAGACACUAAAAACAAUCACAGACAGACUUGUUUGGAAUUUCAGAAUGGAAAACAUGAAUAACAUUUAAGGGGAAUCACAGGGUGUAUAGCCUGGAUUGUGUAUGCAGUUGCAGGAAUUUGACAAAGAGCGGUCAUUGUGCAUGUGACAACAAUAUCAUAAAUUCUCCACAAAUGUGACUUGUAAUGGGAGGGUUGCAAGAAAAAAGCC
Long non-coding RNA from Cyprinus carpio (common carp), 1872 nucleotides. RefSeq lists it as uncharacterized. The record is from RefSeq and is a predicted model, not a curated record. Lineage: Eukaryota; Metazoa; Chordata; Actinopteri; Cypriniformes; Cyprinidae.